GCACUGCUUUUGAUCCCCUGCCUUGCCUGCACUUGGCGCUCGGCGUCCUACUGCAGCGCCAGUCUGCACAUGCGCAAAACGGCUGCCUUCCGACCCCCCCGUGGAAGCGGCCUUUUAAACCCAGAGCAACUGGG
Molecule: small nucleolar RNA, 134 nt
Filed under: Bison bison bison
Lineage: Eukaryota; Metazoa; Chordata; Mammalia; Artiodactyla; Bovidae
Source: RNAcentral